Long non-coding RNA from Erpetoichthys calabaricus (reedfish), 253 nucleotides. RefSeq lists it as uncharacterized. The record is from RefSeq and is a predicted model, not a curated record. The transcript has 3 exons. NCBI's taxonomy places the organism in Eukaryota, Metazoa, Chordata, Cladistia, Polypteriformes, Polypteridae.
GCUCACUUGAGUAUUCAGAUGAUGUGUGUUUAGUUGAACUUCCAGGUGUCGUUUCCUGCCUUGAUACUCCUGGUGUUGUCUGCUCACUUGAGUAUUCAGAUGAUGUGUGUUUAGUUGAACUUCCAGGUGUGGUCUGCUCACUUGAUGCUAAUUUAGUUGUUAUUCUAGGUGUCGUUUGCUCCCUUGAUACUCCUGGUGUUGUCUGCUCACUUGAGUAUUCAGCUGACAUGUGUUUAGUUGAACUUCCAGGUGU